ACGGGUGAGUAACACGUGGGAACGUACCCUUUGGUUCGGAAUAACGCUGGGAAACUAGCGCUAAUACCGGAUACGCCCUUUUGGGGAAAGGCUUGCUGCCGAAGGAUCGGCCCGCGUCUGAUUAGCUGGUUGGUGGGGUAAUGGCCUACCAAGGCGACGAUCAGUAGCUGGUCUGAGAGGAUGAUCAGCCACACUGGGACUGAGACACGGCCCAGACUCCUACGGGAGGCAGCAGUGGGGAAUAUUGGACAAUGGGCGCAAGCCUGAUCCAGCCAUGCCGCGUGAGUGAUGAAGGCCUUAGGGUUGUAAAGCUCUUUUGUCCGGGACGAUAAUGACGGUACCGGAAGAAUAAGCCCCGGCUAACUUCGUGCCAGCAGCCGCGGUAAUACGAAGGGGGCUAGCGUUGCUCGGAAUCACUGGGCGUAAAGGGCGCGUAGGCGGCCAUUCAAGUCGGGGGUGAAAGCCUGUGGCUCAACCACAGAAUUGCCUUCGAUACUGUUUGGCUUGAGUUUGGUAGAGGUUGGUGGAACUGCGAGUGUAGAGGUGAAAUUCGUAGA
This 557-nucleotide ribosomal RNA is filed under the name uncultured Methylobacterium sp. RNAcentral describes it as "bacterial SSU rRNA". It matches the Rfam family "Bacterial small subunit ribosomal RNA", at positions 102 to 694 of the family's 1533-position model. The record is from RNAcentral. Lineage: Bacteria; Pseudomonadati; Pseudomonadota; Alphaproteobacteria; Hyphomicrobiales; Methylobacteriaceae.